RNAcentral lists this unclassified non-coding RNA (278 nucleotides) under Fusicladium sp. RNAcentral describes it as "partial contains 5.8S ribosomal RNA, internal transcribed spacer 2, and large subunit ribosomal RNA". The stretch from base 1 to 71 matches the Rfam family "5.8S ribosomal RNA", at positions 84 to 154 of the family's 154-position model. Lineage: Eukaryota; Fungi; Ascomycota; Dothideomycetes; Venturiales; Sympoventuriaceae. The record is from RNAcentral.
GUGAAUCAUCGAAUCUUUGAACGCACAUUGCGCCCUCUGGUAUUCCGGAGGGCACGCCUGUUCGAGCGCCAUUUCACCCCCCAAGCUCUGCUUGACGUUGGACGGAGCGAGGCCGCCCGUCCGAAACACGUGUGGCGCCGACCGUCGAGCACCAGCGUAGCAACACACUUUCGCUUCGUGCUCCGACGGCCGGCUGCCGUGAAAGCAACCACAAACCAGGUUGGCCUCGGAUCAGGUGGGGAUACCCGCUGAACUUAAGCAUAUCAAUAAGCGGAGGA